GGAAUAUUGGUCAAUGGGGGCAACCCUGAGCCAGCCAAGUCGCGUGAAGGAUGAAGGUCUUAUGGAUUGUAAACUUCUUUUAUACAGGAAUAAAUUGGGGGACGUGUCCCCUUUUGCAUGUACUGUAUGAAUAAGGAUCGGCUAACUCCGUGCCAGCAGCCGCGGUAAUACGGAGGAUCCGAGCGUUAUCCGGAUUUAUUGGGUUUAAAGGGUGCGCAGGCGGGAUGUUAAGUCGGCGGUGAAAUUUUGCAGCUCAACUGUAAAAGUGCCUUCGAUACUGGCUUCCUUGAGUGUAGAUGAAGUAGGCGGAAUUUGUGGUGUAGCGGUGAAAUGCUUAGAUAUCACGAGGAACUCCGAUUGCGCAGGCAGCUUACUAAACUACAACUGACGCUCAUGCACGAAGGCGUGGGGAUCAAACA
RNAcentral lists this ribosomal RNA (419 nucleotides) under uncultured bacterium. RNAcentral's name for it is "bacterial SSU rRNA". It matches the Rfam family "Bacterial small subunit ribosomal RNA", at positions 358 to 774 of the family's 1533-position model. The record is from RNAcentral.